This 329-nucleotide ribosomal RNA is filed under the name uncultured Butyrivibrio sp. Its description in RNAcentral is "partial 16S ribosomal RNA". The record is from RNAcentral. Lineage: Bacteria; Bacillati; Bacillota; Clostridia; Lachnospirales; Lachnospiraceae.
GGAGUCUGGGCCGUGUCUCAGUCCCAAUGUGGCCGUCCGCCCUCUCAGGCCGGCUACUGAUCGUCGCUUCGGUGGGCCGUUACCCCGCCGACUGGCUAAUCAGAUGCGGAUCCAUCCUGUACCGAUAUUUCUUUUCACCCUGCACCAUGCGGUGCCGGGCGCUUAUGCGGUAUUACCAGCCGUUUCCAGCUGCUAUCCCCCUGUACAGGCCAGGUUAUCCACACGUUACUCACCCGUCCGCCACUAAGAUAAAACGAUUCCAGACGAAUCCUUCAUCCGUAAUAUCUCCGUUCGACUUGCAUGUGUUAGGCACGCCGCCAGCGUUCAUC